This 922-nucleotide ribosomal RNA is filed under the name uncultured bacterium. RNAcentral's name for it is "bacterial SSU rRNA". It matches the Rfam family "Bacterial small subunit ribosomal RNA", at positions 8 to 916 of the family's 1533-position model. The record is from RNAcentral.
AGAGUUUGAUCAUGGCUCAGGAUGAACGCUAGCGGCAGGCUUAAUACAUGCAAGUUGAGGGGCAGCAUGAUAUACGUAAGUAUAUUGAUGGCGACCGGCGGACGGGUGAGUAAAAGGUAGGAGACCUACCUCAUACAGGGGGAUAGCAUAGAGAAAUCUGUGGUAAUACCCCAUGAGGUUAUAUGAAUAGAGGCAUAUAAUCAAAGUAUACGAGAGUAUGCGGUAUGAGAUGGGCCUACUGACCAUUAGCUAGUUGGUGAGGUAAGGGCUCACCAAGGCGAAGAUGGUUAGGGGUUUUGAGAGAGAGAUCCCCCACAUUGGAACUGAGAUACGGUCCAGACUCCUACGGGAGGCAGCAGUAGGGAAUAUUGGGCAAUGGGCGAAAGCCUGACCCAGCCAUGCCGCGUGAAGGAAGACGGCCUUAUGGGUUGUAAACUUCUUUACUAUACGAAUAGAGGUUAGUACGAGUUACUAAUAGGAAGGUAGUAUAGCAAAAAGCACCGGCUAACUCCGUGCCAGCAGCCGCGGUAAUACGGAGGGUGCAAGCGUUAUUCGGAAUUACUGGGUUUAAAGGGUGCGUAGGCGGUUAUAUAAGUUGUCAGUGAAAGGCUACGGCUCAACUGUAGUAGUGCUGGCGAUACUGUAUAACUAAGAACAUGGGAGGGGUACCUGGAAUGUGUGGUGUAGCGGUGAAAUGCAUAGAUAUCACACAGAACACCGGAGGCGAAGGCGGGGUACUAGACCAUAGUUGACGCUGAGGCACGAAAGCGUGGGGAGCAAACAGGAUUAGAUACCCUGGUAGUCCACGCCCUAAACGAUGAUCACUAGAUAUUGGCGACAUACAGUCAGUGUCCAAGCGAAAGUGAUAAGUGAUCCACCUGGGGAAUACGGCCGCAAGGUUAAAACUCAAAGGAAUUGACGG